Molecule: ribosomal RNA, 387 nt
Filed under: uncultured Corynebacterium sp.
Lineage: Bacteria; Bacillati; Actinomycetota; Actinomycetes; Mycobacteriales; Corynebacteriaceae
Description: bacterial SSU rRNA
Rfam family: Bacterial small subunit ribosomal RNA
Source: RNAcentral
GUGGUUGGUGUACAGGUGGUGCAUGGUUGUCGUCAGCUCGUGUCGUGAGAUGUUGGGUUAAGUCCCGCAACGAGCGCAACCCUUGUCUUAUGUUGCCAGCACGUGAUGGUGGGGACUCAUGAGAGACUGCCGGGGUUAACUCGGAGGAAGGUUGGGAUGACGUCAAAUCAUCAUGCCCCUUAUGUCCAGGGCUUCACACAUGCUACAAUGGUCGGUACAGCGCGUUGCUACAUCGUGAGGUGGUGCUAAUCGCUUAAAGCCGGCCUUAGUUCGGAUUGGGGUCUGCAACUCGACCCCAUGAAGUCGGAGUCGCUAGUAAUCGCAGAUCAGCAAUGCUGCGGUGAAUACGUUCCCGGGCCUUGUACACACCGCCCGUCACGGCAUGGA